This 74-nucleotide transfer RNA is filed under the name Fusobacterium sp. RNAcentral describes it as "tRNA-Pro". It matches the Rfam family "tRNA". Rfam says of the family: Transfer RNA (tRNA) molecules are approximately 80 nucleotides in length. Lineage: Bacteria; Fusobacteriati; Fusobacteriota; Fusobacteriia; Fusobacteriales; Fusobacteriaceae. The record is from RNAcentral.
GGGAAUAUAGCUCAGUUCGGUAGAGCAUACACCUUGGAAGUGUAAGGACAUGAGUUCGAAUCUCAUUAUUCCCU